RNAcentral lists this ribosomal RNA (1193 nucleotides) under Bacillus rugosus. RNAcentral's name for it is "bacterial SSU rRNA". It matches the Rfam family "Bacterial small subunit ribosomal RNA", at positions 31 to 1206 of the family's 1533-position model. The record is from RNAcentral. Lineage: Bacteria; Bacillati; Bacillota; Bacilli; Caryophanales; Bacillaceae.
AAGCGUUAAAGCGUCUAUAAUGCAGUCGAGCGGACAGAUGGGAGCUUGCUCCCUGAUGUUAGCGGCGGACGGGUGAGUAACACGUGGGUAACCUGCCUGUAAGACUGGGAUAACUCCGGGAAACCGGGGCUAAUACCGGAUGCUUGUUUGAACCGCAUGGUUCAAACAUAAAAGGUGGCUUCGGCUACCACUUACAGAUGGACCCGCGGCGCAUUAGCUAGUUGGUGAGGUAAUGGCUCACCAAGGCAACGAUGCGUAGCCGACCUGAGAGGGUGAUCGGCCACACUGGGACUGAGACACGGCCCAGACUCCUACGGGAGGCAGCAGUAGGGAAUCUUCCGCAAUGGACGAAAGUCUGACGGAGCAACGCCGCGUGAGUGAUGAAGGUUUUCGGAUCGUAAAGCUCUGUUGUUAGGGAAGAACAAGUACCGUUCGAAUAGGGCGGUACCUUGACGGUACCUAACCAGAAAGCCACGGCUAACUACGUGCCAGCAGCCGCGGUAAUACGUAGGUGGCAAGCGUUGUCCGGAAUUAUUGGGCGUAAAGGGCUCGCAGGCGGUUUCUUAAGUCUGAUGUGAAAGCCCCCGGCUCAACCGGGGAGGGUCAUUGGAAACUGGGGAACUUGAGUGCAGAAGAGGAGAGUGGAAUUCCACGUGUAGCGGUGAAAUGCGUAGAGAUGUGGAGGAACACCAGUGGCGAAGGCGACUCUCUGGUCUGUAACUGACGCUGAGGAGCGAAAGCGUGGGGAGCGAACAGGAUUAGAUACCCUGGUAGUCCACGCCGUAAACGAUGAGUGCUAAGUGUUAGGGGGUUUCCGCCCCUUAGUGCUGCAGCUAACGCAUUAAGCACUCCGCCUGGGGAGUACGGUCGCAAGACUGAAACUCAAAGGAAUUGACGGGGGCCCGCACAAGCGGUGGAGCAUGUGGUUUAAUUCGAAGCAACGCGAAGAACCUUACCAGGUCUUGACAUCCUCUGACAAUCCUAGAGAUAGGACGUCCCCUUCGGGGGCAGAGUGACAGGUGGUGCAUGCUUGUCGUCAGCUCGUGUCGUGAGAUGUUUGGGUUAAGUCCCCGCAAACGAGCGCAACCCUUUGAUCUUAGUUGCCAGCAUUCAGCUGGGCACCUCUAAGUUGAACUGCCGGUGACGAUCUGUAAGAGCUGGGAAUGGACGGUCAAAUCAUCAUUGCCCCCACA